Mytilus trossulus (common blue mussel) is the source of this 2670-nucleotide long non-coding RNA. RefSeq lists it as uncharacterized. Lineage: Eukaryota; Metazoa; Mollusca; Bivalvia; Mytilida; Mytilidae. The record is from RefSeq and is a predicted model, not a curated record. The transcript has 2 exons.
GCAGCUCUCCAAAUUACAUUUCAAGGAAAUAUAAACAUUGCAACAUGUCAAGAGAUGAACUCAUUGGUAAAAUUUCUCAGCAAAGAAAUGUCAUCACCAGUUUGCAAAACCAGAUCGCACAAACUCAAAGACAGUUUCAACGAGAUUUAUCCGGAAGUGGUGUGACUCUAAAUGCAUGUCAGUCCAUUGAGAUGUGAGAUGCUAUGGCUUUAUGUUCGACCGAAAUGGAGAAAGCCUUCCCAGAUUCCAAUUGCUUUCAAAGACUUUUUUGGAGUGAACAAUUUAAAAGUGUUAACGUGAAAUCAGCUAAAGGAAUGAAAUGGCAUCCCAUGAUAAUUAGAUGGUGCUUGUAUCUUCGACAGAAGUCCAGUGCUGCAUAUGCAUGAUGCUUUGAGAGACUCAGGGUUUAUCACUUUACCUAGUGCAAGGACUUUGUUUGAUUACUCUCACUACACUAAAUGUGGUAAUGGUUAUCAACCAGAUGUUCUAAAUAUAUUGAAAUCAGAGGCAGAAAAGAAGGGCAUGUAUAACAUAGAUGAGCCAUGGCGAAAUUAAAGUACGUUGGAAUACUAUUUGAUGAAAUUCAGGUUAAAUCAGAAAUAGUAUAUGACAAAUACAGUGGUGAAUUAAUAGGUUACUGUAAUUUAGACAAAGUUGGCAACCAGAUGAUGGAACUUGACAAGAGUAUUAAAGGAACUGAACAAUCAGACAUAGCCAAGUACAUGCUUGUUGUAAUGGUGAGAGGUGUAACUUGCGACCUACGGUUCCCAUUGGCCGGUUUUCCAACAAAUAGUAUAACAGCAGAUUUUUUGUACCCUGUUAUUUGGAAGGCAGUACGCAUCCUAGAGACCGGCCUUGUUGACCUAAGGGUUCUAUUUAUUACUUGCGAUGGUGCGUCAUCUAACAGAAGAUUUUUUAAACUUCACAGUGAGGACAAUGACUUCGUGCACUAUGCAGAUCACCCAUAUACUCAUCUGACAACAGAGUCAUAUAUUUUAUUUCGGAUGUACCCCAUCUUAUCAAAACAACACGCAACUGUUUUUGCAAUUCAUUCUCGCAUAAGAAUACUCGUAAAAUGUGGAAAGACGGUAAAGAUAUUUCUUGGCUUCAUAUGCUGAAUGUAUUUGAACAACAUUGUGAGCUGUCCUUAUAUAGCCCAUGUCCAAAACUAACAAGAAAGCAUAUAGACAUGUCUACAUUUGGGUGCAUGAAAGUGAAUUUCGCAGCACAGGUACUACAUGUACUAAGUUCAACUGUAGCGAAUGCGUUGGAAAUGCUUUAUGGAGACAAUGUGACAGAGACCGUUAACUUUAUAAGGGUAAUGAACCGCUUUUUUGACUGUUUGAAUGUGAGAAGCCUGUACGAAGGUCGUAACAAAAGAAAUCCUGACUUAAACCCAUACAAUUCUCCGAAUGAUGAAAGACUGAGGUGGUUGAAAGAGGAUUUCCUAAAUUACUUUAGUGAAUGGGAGCAAGCCGUCAUGAAUCGAGUUGGAAAUUUCACUUUGAAAGAACGAAAGGGGAUGCAGCUUAGCCAUCAGACUAUAACUGGACUUAAAAUAAGUGUACAUUCUAUUGUUGCAAGUGUAAAAUUUUUAUUAAACAGUGGUGCUAAGUUUGUGCUCACUCACUCCUUCAAUCAGGAUCCACUUGAACAGGAGUUUGGACAUUAUUGUCAUAGAGUUGGUGACAACAAUAACCCAACAGUAUAUGCGUGCCGUAGGAGCAGUUGCCUUAGCUCCAAAGAGAGGGAAUAUCCACCGACAGAAUGAUGAAAACCGUUUUGUAAUUGACAAUUCAAAGUUACCAAAGAGAUAAACUCUAGUUGUACUCUAGUGACAUUGUCAUUGUUAUUAUGUAUAAACUUCAAAAGGUUAUGAAUAGUUUUAAUUUAGAUUUUAAUGUUUUCUCCUGUUUUACCAGCAUGCAUGAAGACGUGCUAAAAGUACAUGAAAGUUCAAAGUAAAUACAAUAUUCUGAAUGUGGAUCUAAUAAAUUCCUGUUUUAUUGGUAUUUUUUUAAUUUUUUAUUAUUGUUUAUGAUACAUGUUGUAUAUAUAUUGAACAUGUAUGAUGUGUGUCAACAAAGGAAAACUUUACUUGUCUCUUAAUAUUGUUGGUAACUUAAAUGUAUAUAGUAGGCAAGUCAAUUAUCUAGGAUUAUGUACAUUUUUAAAAUUUGUAUAUACAUCAUUUGUUAUGAAAAAAAGUUGUUCCUUUUACAUUGUACAUGUUUUAUGUUUGUUUAAAUGACAGCUUUAUGUGUCUCAGAAGUCGAUAAAAUAAAUCUUAUCUUAUAUAGUGUACAUAUUGUAUAAAGUUCUACUUCUGGACACAAUUUUUUUAAACAUGUUUUUUUUAUAGAUUUUUUUUUAUUGAAAUUGUUGUUUAGGCCAAAAAAAAAUAUAUGUCUGUUUCCUGUUUCCCGACCGACCCUAACUCAAACCCCCCGACCCUAAAUCUUUUUAUUCAAAUCCGGAAAAAAAUCGGUUCCGGUCCGAACCAGAUCCGUAUUUUACUAUGCCCAAACAAAAAAUGGCUGCUCCCAGCACAAAUGUGCCACAAUAAGCGAGUUUAAAAAUGUCAGCACUUGGAGGAUUAUUCAAUUAAAGCUUCUUUAAAGGGAUUAAAUCAUUUAGGGGUACAGGACCCUAACCAAACAUGACAUAUAA